Molecule: ribosomal RNA, 102 nt
Filed under: Bacillus sp. 33m
Lineage: Bacteria; Bacillati; Bacillota; Bacilli; Caryophanales; Bacillaceae
Description: partial 16S ribosomal RNA
Source: RNAcentral
CCUUUUGGUUGUAAAGCACUUUAAGCGAGGAGGAGGCUACUCUAGUUAAUACCUGGGGAUAGUGGACGUUACUCGCAGAAUAAGCACCGGCUAACUUCUGUG